Molecule: unclassified non-coding RNA, 331 nt
Filed under: soil metagenome
Description: partial contains 5.8S ribosomal RNA, internal transcribed spacer 2, and large subunit ribosomal RNA
Rfam family: 5.8S ribosomal RNA (bases 1-120)
Source: RNAcentral
GAUGAAGAACGUAGCGAAAUGCGAUACGUAAUGUGAAUUGCAGAAUUCAGUGAAUCAUCGAGUCUUUGAACGCACAUUGCGCCCCCUGGUAUUCCGGGGGGCAUGCCUGUUCGAGCGUCAUUUCACCACUCAAGCCUCGCUUGGUAUUGGGCAUCGCGGUCCGCCGCGUGCCUCAAAUCGACCGGCUGGGUCUUCUGUCCCCUAAGCGUUGUGGAAACUAUUCGCUAAAGGGUGUUCGGGAGGCUACGCCGUAAAACAACCCCAUUUCUAAGGUUGACCUCGGAUCAGGUAGGGAUACCCGCUGAACUUAAGCAUAUCAAUAAGCGGAGGA